Paenibacillus popilliae ATCC 14706 is the source of this 187-nucleotide regulatory RNA element. It matches the Rfam family "Lysine riboswitch aptamer". Rfam says of the family: Riboswitches are metabolite binding domains within certain messenger RNAs that serve as precision sensors for their corresponding targets. Allosteric rearrangement of mRNA structure is mediated by ligand binding, and this results in modulation of gene expression. NCBI's taxonomy places the organism in Bacteria, Bacillati, Bacillota, Bacilli, Caryophanales, Paenibacillaceae. The record is from Rfam.
AGAUGAGGUAGAGGUUGCGGUUGUUAGUAGUAGCUCUGUGGAGGCGGGAAGCGCCGAGGAUGCAGAGGGAAAGGAACCACCGCCGAAGUCUGCGGGCAUCUUCCGGCACGCGGGCUGGGGCUGUUGCCGAAAGGCGCAGCACUGUCAUACGGGUUUACCCGUUCCCGUAUGGUGCGCUAUCUUUUAU